GUAGGUGAACUGCGGAAGGAUCAUUACCGAGUGUAGGGUUCCUAGCGAGCCCAACCUCCCACCCGUGUUUACUGUACCUUAGUUGCUUCGGCGGGCCCGCCAUUCAUGGCCGCCGGGGGCUCUCAGCCCCGGGCCCGCGCCCGCCGGAGACACCACGAACUCUGUCUGAUCUAGUGAAGUCUGAGUUGAUUGUAUCGCAAUCAGUUAAAACUUUCAACAAUGGAUCUCUUGGUUCCGGCAUCGAUGAAGAACGCAGCGAAAUGCGAUAACUAGUGUGAAUUGCAGAAUUCCGUGAAUCAUCGAGUCUUUGAACGCACAUUGCGCCCCCUGGUAUUCCGGGGGGCAUGCCUGUCCGAGCGUCAUUGCUGCCCAUCAAGCACGGCUUGUGUGUUGGGUCGUCGUCCCCUCUCCGGGGGGGACGGGCCCCAAAGGCAGCGGCGGCACCGCGUCCGAUCCUCGAGCGUAUGGGGCUUUGUCACCCGCUCUGUAGGCCCGGCCGGCGCUUGCCGAACGCAAAUCAAUCUUUUUCCAGGUUGACCUCGGAUCAGUAGGAU
RNAcentral lists this ribosomal RNA (554 nucleotides) under Aspergillus flavus. RNAcentral's name for it is "eukaryotic LSU rRNA". The stretch from base 209 to 362 matches the Rfam family "5.8S ribosomal RNA". Lineage: Eukaryota; Fungi; Ascomycota; Eurotiomycetes; Eurotiales; Aspergillaceae. The record is from RNAcentral.